Molecule: ribosomal RNA, 497 nt
Filed under: uncultured bacterium
Lineage: Bacteria
Description: partial 16S ribosomal RNA
Rfam family: Bacterial small subunit ribosomal RNA
Source: RNAcentral
GAUGAACGCUGGCGGCGUGCCUAAUACAUGCGAGUCGAGCGAACGGACGAGAAGCUUGCUUCUCUGAUGUUAGCGGCGGACGGGCGAGUAACACGUGGAUAACCUACCUAUAAGGCUGGGAUAACUUCGGGAAACCGGAGCUAAUACCGGAUAAUAUUUUGAACCGCAUGGUUCAAAAGUGAAAGACGGUCUUGCUGUCACUGAUAGAUGGAUCCGCGCUGCAUUAGCUAGUUGGUAAGGUAACGGCUUACCAAGGCAACGAUGCAUAGCCGACCUGAGAGGGUGAUCGGCCACACUGGAACUGAGACACGGUCCAGACUCCUACGGGAGGCAGCAGUAGGGAGUCUUCCGCAAUGGGCGAAAGCCUGACGGAGCAACGCCGCGUGAGUGAUGAAGGUCUUCGGAUCGUAAAACUCUGUUAUUAGGGAAGAACAUUUGUGUAAGUAACUGUGCACAUCUUGACGGUACCUAAUCAGAAAGCCACGGCUAACUACGUG